RNAcentral lists this ribosomal RNA (497 nucleotides) under uncultured bacterium. RNAcentral describes it as "partial 16S ribosomal RNA". It matches the Rfam family "Bacterial small subunit ribosomal RNA", at positions 28 to 507 of the family's 1533-position model. The record is from RNAcentral.
GAUGAACGCUGGCGGCGUGCCUAAUACAUGCAAGUCGAGCGAACAGACGAGGAGCUUGCUCCUCUGACGUUAGCGGCGGACGGGUGAGUAACACAUGGAUAACCUACCUAUAAGACUGGGAUAACUUCGGGAAACCGGAGCUAAUACCGGAUAAUAUAUUGAACCGCAUGGUUCAAUAGUGAAAGACGGUUUUGCUGUCACUUAUAGAUGGAUCCGCGCCGCAUUAGCUAGUUGGUAAGGUAACGGCUUACCAAGGCAACGAUGCGUAGCCGACCUGAGAGGGUGAUCGGCCACACUGGAACUGAGACACGGUCCAGACUCCUACGUGAGGCAGCAGUAGGGAAUCUUCCGCAAUGGGCGAAAGCCUGACGGAGCAACGCCGCGUGAGUGAUGAAGGUCUUCGGAUCGUAAAACUCUGUUAUUAGGGAAGAACAAAUGUGUAAGUAACUAUGCACGUCUUGACGGUACCUACUCAGAAAGCCACGGCUAACUACGUG